CGUGGAUGUAGAGAUUCUCCCUCUUCGAAAUUUCUCAUCUACGCAAUCGUAAUCAGGCGAUUUUCCGAUCUCUGUUGACACACUUGAACUGACUUGAGAAGCUUCUUCACGCUGUGAUCCGCUCGAAUUUCUUUGAAGGACCUAGGCAUUCACAAACAUCUGGACUGAAGCUGACGUUAGCUGUGAGAAAACUUGGUUAUUAGCUCACCCCACCGUCCUCUUCAUUCUUGUAAGUUGCUCCUCCUAUGGAUACUUUCCAGUUUCUAUGCUGGUUGCAGGGGCAUUAUCAAAGUUCCUUAAAUGUUUUCACUCCUUCAGAGUUGGUGCUUUUGGAAAUGAUUGAUUUUGUUAUUUCAAUUGCAAAAAAUACACCUUCCCUAACGUAAGUGGAUUACUUUUGCUCUUUCUUUUCAGUAGGUUCCUACCAUCACAAAAAGAAGGGGGGGGGGGGGGGGGGGGAGAAUGUAACAGAGAUUGCAACUGUUGUUGCCAUUAGAACCACAUUUUUACAUUUCAAUGAUGCCAUUAUUGUGCAUACUGCUUCCAACCUCCUUUAGAUAAUUGUGCAUACUGCAACAAUACUGAAUUCUGUUGAAAUAGUUGUCUGGUUUAUUGGUUAGUUUGCUCCGUUUCUGGACCAUGGAGUGAAGCUUAUAAGCAUUUGUCUAUUGAGGAACUAAGCCAGUCAACUAAAGUUGGGGGUGAAACAUUCUCUCUCUCUCUCUCUCUCUCUCUCUCUCUCUCUCACACACACACGCGCGCGCGCGCGCGCGAAAGGGAGUGAUGCAGUUUUGACUCGAGGACCAUGAGCAUAUUAGGGAGGUAAGGGGAAUAAUAUAACACUUAUGGAUCCAUCAAUAUUAGUCAUAUUGUGCCAAUGCAGACAAUUGUGCUAUCAUGCAGCAGGAUAUCUUUUCCUUUCUUGGUAUUUAUCACCAGAUUCACAACAAACUGACUUUGGCUUAUCCCUUGGUAUGGAUCUGAUGCCCUGCAAUGAGUGUUAUUAUUUUCAUAAGCAAUAUGUAUCUAUCUAUUUCCCCGCGUAUGUUGCACUUCUCAAAUGAGUUUUAUGGUAUCUACUAUCUAGAACCUCAAAUGUGCCCCUUUGUGCAUAAACCUCCUCCUACGAGGGUGAUGAAUCUGCUCUAGAAUUUCAAUACUGAGAUUCAGAUCCAGUUCGUUGACGGAACCUGAUUCCCAUCGAUCUUCUCAAGCAUAUGAAUCCCAAAGUACUUAUUGAGAAGUUUUUAAAGCAAUGACCUGGUGAGGAAAUGUAUGGUUGGAACAGGGAACUUGUUUCUUGUGAUCUUGUCUGACCAAUUAUCCACAUGAUGCUUCAAAUGAGUUUUAUGGCUGCUAUUACCUGUUACAUUCAUCAUUUCUGAAACAGAGGAUUUGGUGAUUUCCAUGGGGUUUCUAUCUCUAUAAGUGCUGGUUAGCUUAUCAUAUGAUGGUGCUAUAAUUGCCCGGGGUGAAUCAAAUAUUGACAAUCCUAGAGUCUCAUGGCUAUAACAAUCAAAAUCUUGCUGUGGAGCAGACUAGUGCAAAACUGCAAAUAAAGAUGCAGCAGGCAUAUGCUAUUUCCAGAAACACUAACCUUUGGAUUAGGCUUUCAACGGAUGCUGGAUCACUUAGUUGGAUAGAAGAUGUUAGCCAAAGGCAAUCACACUUCGAAAUGGCCCUAGUCAGGUAUUGCAACAUUGCUCAUGUAUCAAUCUUCCUAUAAGUUCCUGAAUAACAAAUGAAAAUGAAAGAUGUCUCGUAGAUAUGUACCCUCUAUUGUUCUUAAAUUUUUUGGACCGGGAUUAAAAUUACAAAAAACAAGGCCUUGGAAUCCAACUAUGAAGUGAAAAAUUAAGUAAACAGGCAAUGGGGCAGAACUGCUCUUCCGAGGACCGUUUUCUACUGUUUCUGGGUAUCCUUGAAAAGUGAAUAUCACAAACCAUGUGUCCACAUAACUGAAAUCAAAUCUACUUUUGUGUUCACCGCUUGUUACUUGUUCUUGUUCCAUGGUUUGACGAUAGAUAAUACCACAAUUAUUGCUAUAACAAUCAGAAUAAUCAUGGCAAUACACAUGCAUUUUCUUGAUUUCUUUUGCAAGAUCUUUGCAGCUUGGAGGGCAUCUGUACCCGUGUGCACGUGGUCCACUGCACUUGUCACCUGCAACCAAGGGAGAGGAAAACAAUUGAUAUGGCAAUUGAUCUCUGAAAUUAAUAUCCUAGGAGUGAAUCAAUCCGUAGCAUAACAUGUCAUAAUCAUGAUAUGUUUAAGGAGCUAUGUACUUGUUCGAUGUAGAUUUCUAUGGUAAUUCGCUGAUGCAUCACACACAAUGGUAGGUGCCAAUUUGGUAGUGAUUUUCUUUCCCUUUUUUUUUUUUUGCUUUCUCUGUUUCCAAAUAUUCAGGGACUCAGGGAAAAUUCAACCCUACAUAAGUUUUUAGCCAAUUCUACCAAAUUUUGAUAA
This is a long non-coding RNA of Rhododendron vialii, 2463 nucleotides long. RefSeq lists it as uncharacterized. NCBI's taxonomy places the organism in Eukaryota, Viridiplantae, Streptophyta, Magnoliopsida, Ericales, Ericaceae. The record is from RefSeq and is a predicted model, not a curated record. The transcript is spliced from 2 exons.